UAAAUGCGGAAGAGAUAAGUGCUGAAAGCAUCUAAGCACGAAACUUGCCCCGAGAUGAGUUCUCCCUGACUCCUUGAGAGUCCUGAAGGAACGUUGAAGACGACGACGUUGAUAGGCCGGAUGUGUAAGCGCAGCGAUGCGUUGAGCUAACCGGUACUAAUGAACCGUGAGGCUUAACCUUACAACGCCGAAGGUGUUU
RNAcentral lists this ribosomal RNA (199 nucleotides) under Escherichia coli. Its description in RNAcentral is "partial 23S ribosomal RNA". It matches the Rfam family "Bacterial large subunit ribosomal RNA", at positions 2750 to 2925 of the family's 2925-position model. Lineage: Bacteria; Pseudomonadati; Pseudomonadota; Gammaproteobacteria; Enterobacterales; Enterobacteriaceae. The record is from RNAcentral.